AAAGGUGCAAGAGAUCCUUUAAUACCAACUAGCCUUUGCAGAUCAAAAGUUCACUAAAAGAUCUUUGUAGUUCACAAGCUAUUGGCAAGUGGGCAUUACCUGCUGUAUAAAUUGUAUUUUCCGAAUAAUGGCUUUCCACCUUAACAGGUUGCAAGGGGAGUCCCAGAGAGACAAGAGGUGAGGACAUGAAGAGGUGUAUUUCACUUCUGGCAGCUAGGACUGGAGUGUAAGGCUGAGCUGAUUCAGGUAUCACAGAUAUCAUAGAUAUCAGAGGUAAUCACAAAGUGAAAGAACUGCAGAGUAGGAAAAGUAAUCUAAGGGUUAGAGGCCGGCUGUCCGUAAAAAAGGGCAGUUGCUUUUAGGAUGGAAUGAUAAAACUGCUAAUUUUAAAUUCUUUGUAACAAUCCAGUCUCACCAUUUCCUGCAGUAUUACCACUGGACAUGGGGAACUGAUUAUACUCUUCCUGUUUUCAACCACUUAUUACAUAUUUAAAGACUAUCUCUGUGCCUACAGCUAGUCUACUCUUCUUUAGACUAAACAGUGUCAACUCUCACAGUCUUUCCUCAUAGACCUGUUCCAUAAACUUGAGGGUUUCUAGUUGCUUUUAUCUGUGUGCUCUUUCCAAGUCUUCUGCAUCAUGCUUCAAGUGUAGUACCCAAAGUGGACACACAACAGCAGCAGAGGCUUUGCUUGCGUCAAACAGAAGCCAUCUCACAUCUUACAGACAAACGAAUUUGAAAAGUCCUCCUUGUUUGUUUUUUCUUUUGUGAAACAGUAAAAUCUAUAUGCAUUAACUAGUUUCAGCUGAGAGGAUUCCGGAUAUUGGAUUGAUCCCUGCUAGUCCAUCUACACAGCCCCCACAGCUGACAAGAAGCUUGAGAGAAUUCUUGUUCCGCUGAGUUUCCAGGAAGUAAUUUGGAAAGCAGAAGGUAGAUGUUUUGAGGCAAAGGAGAGGAUAGAUUAUAAAAAUUUAAGAUUACCUAAGCAAAUACCAGGUCAGACAUAGCACUGAUCUGUCUCUGCUGGUAGCAUGAAGGAGACAGUAAGGCUGCAAGGAUGUUGAGAGAAAAGGAAAACAGAAAGAAAUAAAUCCAUUUCAAAAAUAUUGCUGUUGGUAGAAGUGAGUGAAAUCAGAUGCAACCCAGUGAACUUCAGACCCUGAAGUAAUGUUAUUUCUUUCACUUACUGAGUAAAGUGAGCAUGCCAGUGAAAAAAUUUCUGGCUUUAAAUCCACUUUGAAUGACUCAUGCAUAAUAAAAAUAAAUCUUGGUUGGGAGCAGACUUUUCCUGCUCCCAUUCCUUCUUCUUUUAAAGAUCUUCUCAGGAGUUUUGCUGGUCUUAAAUACAUUUCUUUGCUUCCUAGUUCCUGUCCCUUGUUCAGCAGUGCUUUCCCUUCAUCAUGAAGAGCUAUAACCAUGUGCUGUGAGUGUGUAUGAGCAAGGGGGCAUAACAUAGACUUCUGUUGCUAGAUACAGAUUUUUGAUACUAUCCAAGGUUCAAAACUGUAAAGAACAGGUGGCUGAAAGCACUCAAAGUCCUUAGAUAAGAGUUCUCACUCAUUCUGUUGCUUAAAAUGCUAGAAAAUUUGGAAAUAUUUAAUUUCUCCCAGUUGAGCGGGUAGACUUUGCUGAAACUGAGAAAUUUGGUCCAGUGCCUCUUGUGCUAAAAGUGGUGGCAAAUUUGUCACCAUUAUGUUCAGGCACCUUGCAAGCUCAUUUUCUGCUUUCCCAAUGGUCUGAUGUGUUUGGGAUGGCUGCAGUCCCUGUAUUUUUUCAGGAGUUUUCUUCCUACUCCAUGACCCAGCUGUUGUACAUCAGACUUGUUUUCCUUGUCUGCAGGCGUUUUAUCUCCUGGCAAUCUCUUCCCAGGAGAAAGCCAUUCCCAUCUCCGUGACUCUUCUUUCACCAGGUUGUAUCUGAUUUUUGCACACCUUGCUGAUAGGUGAAAAUCUUAUCAGCUGGCCCUGACAACCUUUCCUGUCCUAGGCUGCCUUGAGCUUGCCCUUAGGUCCCUGCAGUAACCAGAGCAAACACUGCACUGCAGAGUAGUGAGUGACCUUAGGAAGCACUCGGACAUUUGCAUAUUAUUGCAUACAUAAAAAGAAUAAUGAAUGUCGGUGGGAUGUGGAGUGGUGCGGAGCACUCUUAUCAACAGUCUCCACAAAAGCUCCUUCAUUUGUUUAUAAGGAACUGCAGACCAGAGGUGCUUGAAUUUGUAGACAGGAAGGGUGAGGGGGGAAAACACCUCCACUUGUUUUCUCCUUUGAACAACAACAUUUCUCUUAACCUUAACCAAAGAAGGUAGCGAAGCCACUUGGCAAACAGACUUGAGUGAAGUACCUCGGCUGGAAAUGUUGGCUUGUUUGUGUUAACACGCAGAGUUCUGCUCCGUGCGUGCCGAGGGGAGCGCGGGGAAGGCCUGCCCCACACUGUGCAGCCAUUCCCGCACCCUCGGCAGCCCUCACACACUGCAGCCUGCUGGCUUCGGCUGCCAUCUCCUCCUGCCUCCGACCCUGCUCUGCCCAGCACAGCCCCUCAAGAGGGGCCAGCACCAGCAGGACGGCAGGGCAGCUUCACUGCUCGGAAGGAUUAGCUGAGCCAUGGGCUGGGGGUGGCUGCGCGCUCGGAGAAGGCCAGGCCAAAGUACGGCUGUGGCACUGCAGGGUGCCCCGGCCGUGGGGGGAAUCGGAGCCUUGAGGCACAAGGGGCACUGACGCUUGAAAACGCUGCAUUUCCGUGAAGAACUGAGUUUCUAGGGACGAUAUUAAGAAAUGCAUCCCUGAAGAGAAACAUCAUAGAGGAGAGCCAGGCUUCAAUGUCAUCUGUAGAUAGAAGAUUGGGUGGAUUAUGGGUAUCUACUGGACACCAGGGCCCUCACAGUACUGGCACCAGGACUGAGUCAACUACCCUGAAAAAGUGGAGCUCUGAAGCCCUGAGUUGCCCCUUGCAACACCUCUGCUCCAAGAAUUUGAUUUAAUUUGAGUCAAUGAAAAACCAAAGGGAAUACACUGACCAGCCUCUGAACCAGCAAAGAUCCAUGGCACCCACUCCAGGGAAGGCUUAUAAGGAAAACCAGACACUGUAGGACUUGAUGCAUGUGGGAUAUGGGGAGGAGUCCCAUGUGCACAUCUCUAAUAAAAUAGCUGUGCUCAUGGGGCAUUUUGCUUUACAUUG
Cyanistes caeruleus (blue tit) is the source of this 3174-nucleotide long non-coding RNA. RefSeq lists it as uncharacterized. NCBI's taxonomy places the organism in Eukaryota, Metazoa, Chordata, Aves, Passeriformes, Paridae. The record is from RefSeq and is a predicted model, not a curated record.